This 75-nucleotide transfer RNA is filed under the name Urbifossiella limnaea. Its description in RNAcentral is "Planctomycetes bacterium ETA_A1 tRNA-Leu". It matches the Rfam family "tRNA". Rfam says of the family: Transfer RNA (tRNA) molecules are approximately 80 nucleotides in length. Their secondary structure includes four short double-helical elements and three loops (D, anti-codon, and T loops). The record is from RNAcentral. Lineage: Bacteria; Pseudomonadati; Planctomycetota; Planctomycetia; Gemmatales; Gemmataceae.
GACACGGUACGCGAACUGGUAUAGCGACCGGCCUUAAGCCCCGGGGCUUGUGGGUUCGACUCCCACCCGUGUCAC